RNAcentral lists this unclassified non-coding RNA (430 nucleotides) under Hevea brasiliensis (rubber tree). The record is from RNAcentral. Lineage: Eukaryota; Viridiplantae; Streptophyta; Magnoliopsida; Malpighiales; Euphorbiaceae.
CUUUUUUCUGAAAGGUGCUUUUUGGUUCUUGAAACCAUAAGAUCCUUUACAAUGCUUGAGAAAUCUAGGAGAAUAUUCCUAUAGUAAAACUAGCGGCUAUUGGCAUUUUGGAUUUUUUGUAUAAGCCCUAGUCAACUAGCUCAGAUUCUUGAAAGCUAUAAAAACAAUGUGCGAAUUCUUGUAUUGUUAAAUCUAUUGACGUACUACAAACAGACAAUGUGUCCUUAAGAUACUAGUUCUUUAAAACUUUGUUCUAUACUCUGAAGUACCCUCCUAUUAUACUCCUGAUAUGCUUUACUUUUACUUUUUAUUUUCAUAUAUCUUCUCCUUAUCCCACCCAAUAAACAAAUUCUUUCUCAUAGAAAUAUGUUAACACUACACUCUUCGCCAAAUACUGAAAAGCUUAAGGGCCAGUGACUAGUUAACAUCC